This 105-nucleotide ribosomal RNA is filed under the name Pteropus alecto (black flying fox). Lineage: Eukaryota; Metazoa; Chordata; Mammalia; Chiroptera; Pteropodidae. The record is from RNAcentral.
GUCUACAGAUAUACUACCCUGAACACGCCCGAUCUCGUCUGAUCUUGGAAGCUAAGCAGAGUUGGGCCUGGCUAGUACUUGGAUGGGAAUCAGGUGUCAUAGAUG